GAAAUGCGAUAAGUAAUGUGAAUUGCAGAAUUCAGUGAAUCAUCGAAUCUUUGAACGCACCUUGCGCUCCUUGGUAUUCCUUGGAGCAUGCCUGUUUGAGUAUCAUGAAAUCUUCAAAGUAAAUCUUUUGUUAACUCAAUUGGUUUCUACUUUGGUAUUGGAGGUCUUUGCAGCUUCACACCUGCUCCUCUUUGUUCAUUAGCUGGAUCUCAGUGUUAUGCUUGGUUCCACUCGGCGUGAUAAGUUAUCUAUCGCUGAGGACACUGUAAAAGGUGGCCAAGGUAAAUGCAGAUGAACCGCUUCUAAUAGUCCAUUUACUUGGACAAUACUUUUAUUAUCUGAUCUCAAAUCAGGUAGGACUACCCGCUGAACUUAAGC
RNAcentral lists this unclassified non-coding RNA (378 nucleotides) under plant metagenome. RNAcentral's name for it is "partial contains 5.8S ribosomal RNA, internal transcribed spacer 2, and large subunit ribosomal RNA". The stretch from base 1 to 105 matches the Rfam family "5.8S ribosomal RNA", at positions 50 to 154 of the family's 154-position model. The record is from RNAcentral.